CCUACGGGUGGCAGCAGUGGGGAAUCUUGCGCAAUGGGCGAAAGCCUGACGCAGCGACGCCGCGUGGGUGAUGAAGGCCUUCGGGUUGUAAAGCCCUGUGGGGAGGGACGAAUAAGAGCCGGCUAAUACUCGGCUCGAUGACGGUACCUCCUUAGCAAGCACCGGCUAACUCUGUGCCAGCAGCCGCGGUAAGACAGAGGGUGCAAACGUUGUUCGGAAUUACUGGGCGUAAAGCGCGUGUAGGCGGCUCCGCAAGUCGGGUGUGAAAGCCCUCGGCUCAACCGAGGAAGUGCACUCGAAACUGCAGAGCUUGAGUCCCGGAGAGGGUAGUGGAAUUCUCGGUGUAGAGGUGAAAUUCGUAGAUAUCGAGAGGAACACCGGUGGCGAAGGCGGCUACCUGGACGGUGACUGACGCUGAGACGCGAAAGCGUGGGGAGCAAACAGGAUUAGAUACCCUAGUAGUCC
This 465-nucleotide ribosomal RNA is filed under the name uncultured bacterium. RNAcentral's name for it is "bacterial SSU rRNA". It matches the Rfam family "Bacterial small subunit ribosomal RNA", at positions 338 to 796 of the family's 1533-position model. The record is from RNAcentral.